UUGAUCCUGGCUCAGGACGAACGCUGGCGGCGUGCCUAAUACAUGCAAGUCGAACGCUUUUUCUUUCACCGGAGCUUGCUCCACCGAAAGAAAAAGAGUGGCGAACGGGUGAGUAACACGUGGGUAACCUGCCCAUCAGAAGGGGAUAACACUUGGAAACAGGUGCUAAUACCGUAUAACACUAUUUUCCGCAUGGAAGAAAGUUGAAAGGCGCUUUUGCGUCACUGAUGGAUGGACCCGCGGUGCAUUAGCUAGUUGGUGAGGUAACGGCUCACCAAGGCAACGAUGCAUAGCCGACCUGAGAGGGUGAUCGGCCACACUGGGACUGAGACACGGCCCAGACUCCUACGGGAGGCAGCAGUAGGGAAUCUUCGGCAAUGGACGAAAGUCUGACCGAGCAACGCCGCGUGAGUGAAGAAGGUUUUCGGAUCGUAAAACUCUGUUGUUAGAGAAGAACAAGGAUGAGAGUAAAAUGUUCAUCCCUUGACGGUAUCUAACCAGAAAGCCACGGCUAACUACGUGCCAGCAGCCGCGGUAAUACGUAGGUGGCAAGCGUUGUCCGGAUUUAUUGGGCGUAAAGCGAGCGCAGGCGGUUUCUUAAGUCUGAUGUGAAAGCCCCCGGCUCAACCGGGGAGGGUCAUUGGAAACUGGGAGACUUGAGUGCAGAAGAGGAGAGUGGAAUUCCAUGUGUAGCGGUGAAAUGCGUAGAUAUAUGGAGGAACACCAGUGGCGAAGGCGGCUCUCUGGUCUGUAACUGACGCUGAGGCUCGAAAGCGUGGGGAGCGAACAGGAUUAGAUACCCUGGUAGUCCACGCCGUAAACGAUGAGUGCUAAGUGUUGGAGGGUUUCCGCCCUUCAGUGCUGCAGC
This 868-nucleotide ribosomal RNA is filed under the name Listeria monocytogenes. RNAcentral's name for it is "bacterial SSU rRNA". It matches the Rfam family "Bacterial small subunit ribosomal RNA", at positions 13 to 852 of the family's 1533-position model. Lineage: Bacteria; Bacillati; Bacillota; Bacilli; Caryophanales; Listeriaceae. The record is from RNAcentral.